GAUAAGUGGGAGCUUCGGCGC
This 21-nucleotide non-coding RNA is filed under the name Arabidopsis thaliana (thale cress). Lineage: Eukaryota; Viridiplantae; Streptophyta; Magnoliopsida; Brassicales; Brassicaceae. The record is from RNAcentral.